CAGCCGCCGCGGUAAUACAGAGGUCUCAAGCGUUGUUCGGAAUCACUGGGCGUAAAGGGUGCGUAGGUGGCGUGGUAAGUCAGAUGUGAAAGCCCGGGGCUCAACCUCGGAACAGCAUCCGAUACUGCCGUGCUAGAGUACUGAAGAGGUGACUAGAAUUCUCGGUGUAGCAGUGAAAUGCGUAGAUAUCGAGAGGAAUACCAAAGGCGAAGGCAGGUCACUGGGCAGUUACUGACACUGAGGCACGAAGGCCAGGGGAGCAAACGGGAUUAGAUACCCCAGUAGUCCCUGUCUCUUAUAC
Molecule: ribosomal RNA, 301 nt
Filed under: uncultured bacterium
Lineage: Bacteria
Description: partial 16S ribosomal RNA
Rfam family: Bacterial small subunit ribosomal RNA
Source: RNAcentral